Non-coding RNA from Cricetulus griseus (Chinese hamster), 953 nucleotides. The record is from RefSeq and is a predicted model, not a curated record. NCBI's taxonomy places the organism in Eukaryota, Metazoa, Chordata, Mammalia, Rodentia, Cricetidae.
UCUUUUGAUUAAAAAUCAGUUUAGGAGAUCCUUCGAGCUGCAGUGAGAGUCAUGCUGCGUGGUAAAUGUGAAGAAAUACAACUGAAGAAAUACACACCUUUUCAGGAUGAAUCUACAGGAGAGGUGGGGAAGACGUCCUGCCGUGGCUGCCUCUUCAUCUGCCUUUCAACACUCAAGAAGCCAGAAGAGGGACACAGGAGCUCUGGUGUGGGAAAGGCUGACUGCAAAAUCACUCACACAGCAAAUCAUCAGGAAAGCAAGGAGAAGAUCACAGCCCUGUCUCCAAUUUCUUAGUGUUAGAGGGACCCAUUUCCUUCGUACAUCCUGAGCUUCUGCUCUCAUACUUUAAAAGAAAAUGGAAGAGAUGCCCACAGCUUCCUGGCUGUGGAAGCCCAGACUGGAGGAUGAGCAGUCUGAACCACAGAAUCUGCCACAUGUACAAAAUCAGUGUCCCUGUCCAUUGGAAGAAUUCCAAAUAGUUUGCAAUGACUAGAGCGGCAAUCCAUACAUGUUCAGGUAUGGAUCCUUAAAAAAAAAAAACAAAAAAAAAAAACAAAAAAAAAACCAUGAAAAUGCACAGCCCCUGAUGCAAUGGGUAAGACAGAGGUUGUGCUUUACUAUCCUGUAUUGAAAAAUAUAUUAGAAGUAAUUAACAUCUAAGUGAAAUUCUACUUAAUUACAAGACUAAAUACACACAUUGGGAAAUGGUAGUGAUAAUGAUAGUUCAUGUCACAACUCCCUGUGUUUCAUGUAUUGGCCUAUUUGGUAGUGAUACAUACAAAGUCAAUCUAUAUCACUUCUUCAGUCAGCAAAGAGUACCCAGGCCACUUGUGCAGUCCACCACUCUUCCUAGUAGGGCCUUGACACCCCAGGGUUUUAGAUUCAUAGUUGGGAAGGGUCGAGCCAUAUAAUACAUUAAGGCAUAUGAUAACUGAGGAACCAAAAAAAAAAAA